GAUGAACGCUGGCGGCGUGCUUAACACAUGCAAGUCGAACGAUGAAGCCCAGCUUGCUGGGUGGAUUAGUGGCGAACGGGUGAGUAACACGUGAGUAACCUGCCCUUAACUCUGGGAUAAGCCUGGGAAACUGGGUCUAAUACCGGAUAGGAGCGUCCACCGCAUGGUGGGUGUUGGAAAGAUUUAUCGGUUUUGGAUGGACUCGCGGCCUAUCAGCUUGUUGGUGAGGUAAUGGCUCACCAAGGCGACGACGGGUAGCCGGCCUGAGAGGGUGACCGGCCACACUGGGACUGAGACACGGCCCAGACUCCUACGGGAGGCAGCAGUGGGGAAUAUUGCACAAUGGGCGCAAGCCUGAUGCAGCGACGCUGCGUGAGGGAUGACGGCCUUCGGGUUGUAAACCUCUUUCAGUAGGGAAGAAGCGAAAGUGACGGUACCCGCAGAAGAAGCACCGGCUAACUACGUG
This 466-nucleotide ribosomal RNA is filed under the name uncultured bacterium. RNAcentral describes it as "partial 16S ribosomal RNA". It matches the Rfam family "Bacterial small subunit ribosomal RNA", at positions 28 to 507 of the family's 1533-position model. The record is from RNAcentral.